ACCCUUUAAUGUUUGAUGUUCUAACGUGGACCCGUGAUCCGGGUUGCGGACAGUGUCUGGUGGGUAGUUUGACUGGGGCGGUCUCCUCCUAAAGAGUAACGGAGGAGCACGAAGGUUGGCUAAUCCUGGUCGGACAUCAGGAGGUUAGUGCAAUGGCAUAAGCCAGCUUGACUGCGAGCGUGACGGCGCGAGCAGGUGCGAAAGCAGGUCAUAGUGAUCCGGUGGUUCUGAAUGGAAGGGCCAUCGCUCAACGGAUAAAAGGUACUCCGGGGAUAACAGGCUGAUACCGCCCAAGAGUUCAUAUCGACGGCGGUGUUUGGCACCUCGAUGUCGGCUCAUCACAUCCUGGGGCUGAAGUAGGUCCCAAGGGUAUGGCUGUUCGCCAUUUAAAGUGGUACGCGAGCUGGGUUUAGAACGUCGUGAGACAGUUCGGUCCCUAUCUGCCGUGGGCGCUGGAGAACUGAGGGGGGCUGCUCCUAGUACGAGAGGACCGGAGUGGACGCAUCACUGGUGUUCGGGUUGUCAUGCCAAUGGCACUGCCCGGUAGCUAAAUGCGGAAGAGAUAAGUGCUGAAAGCAUCUAAGCACGAAACUUGCCCCGAGAUGAGUUCUCCCUGAGACUUAAAGUCUCCUGAAGGAACGUUGAAGACGACGACGUU
This 658-nucleotide ribosomal RNA is filed under the name Salmonella enterica. Its description in RNAcentral is "partial 23S ribosomal RNA". It matches the Rfam family "Bacterial large subunit ribosomal RNA", at positions 2202 to 2854 of the family's 2925-position model. RNAcentral also lists the same sequence under 1 other name. Lineage: Bacteria; Pseudomonadati; Pseudomonadota; Gammaproteobacteria; Enterobacterales; Enterobacteriaceae. The record is from RNAcentral.